CUGGUGCCAGUGGCUGUGGAAAGCAAGGCGUCCCUGAAAUCAGUCCAUUUGGAACCCGUUGCUGAUUGUGGUGGUGCCAAUAUGAAGGGUCGAAUGCUGGUGGUGGUGGUGGAGGAGGCCAUGUAGGUGGCGGCGGCGAUGGGGAGUGAGCUGGAUGUUUAGGCCACAUUUGCAUUAAAGGUUGUUCCAUGGGAGGAUGACCCCACACAUGCAAGGGUCUAAAGUGGUGGUGGUGCAUAGGUGUUAUUGGAGGAAACCCCAUUGUGGGUGCAUGCCAAGGGCUCAUGUCCCUCUUGCCACCGCCUCCAGCCGCUCCGUACAUUUGCCGUCUAUGGCUCCAUGUUGCUGCCUCAGCUUCUCUCGCUAGCAAAUGUUUUCUGUGAGAUCGAUAUUUUUGGAGAUGGCUGGCGAUAUUAUGCCGAGUGAGACAGUCAAUACCCAUAAGCUCUAAAAUCCUCGAAGGCACUGCCUUAUCCACCCCCAAUUGCUCCACUGCUUGUACGAACCUCCUGUGCAGCUCUGGCGUCCAAUCCACCUUCACUUUUCUCUUGCCUUGAUUAUUCUUGGCUGGUGUUGAUUUUCUUCCCUUAUCACUUUCUUUAGAAACUCGAUUAACCACUACGGAUUCAUCUCUCUUGCUCACAAUCUCCUCUCCCCUUGUACUCAAACUCGAAUCCAAGCCCGACCCAGAACCCGAAACCUUAUCUUCCUCAUCUUUUCUCGGAUUAUCCUCCACUUUUUCAUUUGACACGGAUAUGUUCAUCUCUGAUUCCGAGCCGCUACCACUAACGGAGAAGUCAGCAAGAAUUUCAGGAUCCAUCUCCAAAUCUGGCAACAUAUCCCCAUCAUUGAUGCCCGCAAAAAGAUCGCCGAAAUCGAUGCUUUCAAGCAAGUCAGGGAAGUCUUCGUUGUUAAAACUCUCCGUCUGUUCUUGGCUCUCAUCUUUGGUGGUGGUGGUGGUGGUGUUUGGCAGGUUUGCCACAGCUAGCAUC
Molecule: unclassified non-coding RNA, 992 nt
Filed under: Hevea brasiliensis (rubber tree)
Lineage: Eukaryota; Viridiplantae; Streptophyta; Magnoliopsida; Malpighiales; Euphorbiaceae
Source: RNAcentral